This 254-nucleotide ribosomal RNA is filed under the name uncultured bacterium. RNAcentral describes it as "partial 16S ribosomal RNA". It matches the Rfam family "Bacterial small subunit ribosomal RNA", at positions 524 to 777 of the family's 1533-position model. The record is from RNAcentral.
UACGGGGGGGGCAAGCGUUGUUCGGAAUUACUGGGCGUAAAGGGUUUGUAGGUGGCCCGCUAAGUCACACGUGAAAUCCCUCAGCUUAACUGGGGAACUGCGUGUGAGACUGGCAGGCUCGAGGGCAGGAGAGGAACGCGGAAUUCCAGGUGUAGCGGUGAAAUGCGUAGAUAUCUGGAGGAACACCGGUGGCGAAGGCGGCGUUCUGGACUGUCUCUGACACUGAAGAACGAAAGCCAGGGGAGCAAACGGGG